This 425-nucleotide ribosomal RNA is filed under the name uncultured bacterium. RNAcentral describes it as "bacterial SSU rRNA". It matches the Rfam family "Bacterial small subunit ribosomal RNA", at positions 354 to 796 of the family's 1533-position model. The record is from RNAcentral.
GUGGGGAAUCUUGCGCAAUGGGCGAAAGCCUGACGCAGCCAUGCCGCGUGAAUGAUGAAGGUCUUAGGAUUGUAAAAUUCUUUCACCGGGGACGAUAAUGACGGUACCCGGAGAAGAAGCCCCGGCUAACUUCGUGCCAGCAGCCGCGGUAAUACGAAGGGGGCUAGCGUUGCUCGGAAUUACUGGGCGUAAAGGGCGCGUAGGCGGACAGUUUAGUCAGAGGUGAAAGCCCAGGGCUCAACCUUGGAAUUGCCUUUGAUACUGGCUGUCUUGAGUUGGGGAGGGGUGAGUGGAGCUCCGAGUGUAGAGGUGAAAUUCGUAGAUAUUCGGAAGAACACCAGUGGCGAAGGCGACUCACUGGCCCAAUACUGACGCUGAGGCGCGAAAGCGUGGGGAGCAAACAGGAUUAGAUACCCUAGUAGUCC